UACGUAGGGGGCAAGCGUUGUCCGGAUUUACUGGGCGUAAAGAGCGUGUAGGCGGCCACGCAGGUCCGUUGUGAAAACUGGAGGCUCAACCUCCAGCUGUCGACGGAAACCGUAUGGCUAGAGUCCGGAAGAGGCGAGUGGAAUUCCCGGUGUAGCGGUGAAAUGCGCAGAUAUCGGGAGGAACACCUAUGGCGAAGGCAGCUCGCUGGGACGUUACUGACGCUGAGACGCGAAAGCGUGGGGAGCAAACAGG
This 253-nucleotide ribosomal RNA is filed under the name uncultured bacterium. RNAcentral's name for it is "partial 16S ribosomal RNA". It matches the Rfam family "Bacterial small subunit ribosomal RNA", at positions 524 to 776 of the family's 1533-position model. The record is from RNAcentral.